GUUGAAAGAAGGGAGUUCAUUGACCCAGUGUGUGUCUGGGGGUGGCUUUGGAUGGGAUGUUUGGGAGGAAAAAGAGCAAAGAAAGAGGAUCCCAAGUUCUUGACCACUUGGCAAGUAGUGGGUGAAACAAUUUCUAAUUAUUUAAUGAGAUGUGAACAAGCGAGACGGGGAGAAGGGGCUCAGAGCAGAAAACUGGUUGUGGCCUAGACGGUUGGCAGGAGGCCUGUACAGGUGGCUCAGCUGCCUCUCCUCCCAUGGAAUCCUCUCCACCGAGGCAGUUAGCUCAGCUGGAGGAUGAUAAAAGGCAGGCUGACUGCUCUUGGACCUGGGAUCGCAUAUCAAAAGCCAAUCCAGAAGAGGCUGUAAUCAGACAGGCAAAGUGUUGGCCGUGCACUGAGGCAUCAGAGAUGAUGAAGGUUCAGGCCAAACACCUAGGCUGCUCCCACCUUCUGCGUGGAUGUGGGAGGAGAGGCAGGUGACAACCCAUGGCUCCCUCCUGAGGAAACCCUCUGUGGUGCUGGGGGAGAUGCAGGCGAUCUUGAAGAAAGCUGGGGCCACACGAGUUUCUCUUCUCUCAGCGGCUCUAAGCCGGCUACAGAGCAGCUUGAAGUGGGGAGAUGAGAGCAGGCACUGGAGUCAGCUGGGCCAUCCCUGAGAGGAGCAGUGCCUUGAGGAGUAGAGCUUGAAGACAUUAAUGAGCUGGCUAUAAUCGUUCAAUAAAGCAGUCCCCUUAAGGAGCAUCCCUGGACACAGUGAAGCUUAAUAUGGGAUGACUACAGUGAUAAAUGCCAUGAUGGCUCCAUCUUUGCCAAGCCCCUGUCAACCAGGAGAAUGAGCAUUCAUCUCUGCAAGGAGAGAUGAGGAAACCAUGUGUGAUCUUCAGAUCCCUUCAAGAUGAUUGGGAAUGGAGACGUAGAGGAAAGGGAUGGCUGUGGUACCUAAGAAGAGGGAAGAGGGUGCUGAAAGAGCCAGCAGGAGGGCGCUGAAGGAAUAGAGUCCCUCACUUCGCCAACCCAUCUACUGAUGACACUGAGGAGGUGCCCAAUCAUGCAGGGCAGGUGCUACUAACAACCAGAGGAGGCGCCCUCUAAGAUAGCCAAGUCCAAGCCCUGUUUCAAGUCCAAGGUCACAAAGGUGAAGAGGCGUGUCAGGUUUCAGAAGUGACACCGAGACUUUUCUCCAUUUUUAAGCCUAAUUGGGAGCAUCCCUGACAAUCACCAAGCUUUGUUUUCCCCACAGCAGAGCCACUCAGCAGUACCUAAAUCCGUUCAGGUCAUUCAAACGGUGCCCAAGGUGAGGGCUAGAUUUCACUUUUUAGCUAGACUAGAAAGGCAUGCGGGGAGUAUACCAGCUAGCAGCUACCCAAAACAACAUGUGCAGGUAAGAGUUAACAUGGCAGGCCCGAGACUGCUAUCUUAGAAAGGCCUGAGUGCAAGGUUGGCCCUUGGCAGACAUCUAGGAACUUGGGUUUCAGGAGCUUAGAUUUAGGGUUCCCACCACCCCAAGUCACUGUGCCUAAAUGUUUGUGCAAACAAUGUGGUUUGUGCUGAACACCUGCUUUCCAUCUGUGAGUCUUUUUGGUACAUGGCACGCAAAGGGUGUUUAUACGAUCAGCUCCCAAUAAAGACCCUGGGCACUGUGUCUCUAACAAGCUUCUCUGGUAGACAGUAUUCUGCAUGCAUUGUCAUAACUCAUUCUGGAGGAAUUAAGCAUGUCCUGUGUGGCUCUACCGAGAGGAAACUCCAGUCUGCUCCACGCACCUCUUCUUUUUGCUGAUUUUGCUUUGCAUCCUUAUGCUGUAAGGAAUCACAGCCAUGAGUACGACUAUAUGCCGAGUCUUGGGAGUCCUCCUAGCCACUCAUCAAACCCGGGGUUGAUCUUGGGAACCCCCAAUAUGCCAC
Molecule: long non-coding RNA, 1901 nt
Organism: Equus caballus (horse)
Lineage: Eukaryota; Metazoa; Chordata; Mammalia; Perissodactyla; Equidae
Source: Ensembl